CUGAGUUACCGGACUUUGGUGGCGCGGGAAGGAGCCAUUCCUCCUCUGGUCGCUCUGUCUCAGGCCGGAACUAGUCGGGCUAAACAGAAGGCGGAGAUGCUGAUUGGGCUCCUACGGCAACCGAGAUCCGGCAACGCCGCUGCUCCUGCUGCCACUGCCAGGGCGUCUUCUGAUGUGUCAGUUGCUUAGUAGCUGCUGCAUCAUGUCUACAACAUGCCACAUGGGGAGGCCAUGCCACCGUCUCAUCGUAGGCUUAUCGGUUAGCGGUGGUUGCAAAGGGGGCUUGAAAAGAAAAGAAAAGAAAAGAAAUACUAGUACGUACCACGGCACUAGUUCUGAGAUAUUUUAGUCUGAUGAUGAAAAAGAAAAUAGAUGGGAAAAAGGAGUAAGAUCAAACUGUAUAUAAGCGGUCAAUUGUAAAUGAAAACUUCAUAAUGUAAAUUGGUGAAAACUAAUCAUCAUCACAUCGGUUGCUUGGUUUGGGGUUUUUUUUUUUUUUUUUUUUUUUUUUUUUGUAUUUUGAGGCAGUUUUGGCCUUCGGAGAAAAGAGCUUUUUGGAUUUGGGUGAAGUUGAGGAGGCUUUGGUCUGUGGGUAUUCCGUGGUUGGUUGUGCUUAGUUGUGUGUGCUAUCGAAGUUUUUCACUUUUGACUUUAUAUCUUGAAAAGAUGCGAAUUCUGCCACCUUCUGGUUCUGGAA
Coffea eugenioides is the source of this 697-nucleotide long non-coding RNA. RefSeq lists it as uncharacterized. The record is from RefSeq and is a predicted model, not a curated record. NCBI's taxonomy places the organism in Eukaryota, Viridiplantae, Streptophyta, Magnoliopsida, Gentianales, Rubiaceae. The transcript is spliced from 2 exons.